UGGGAGACUUUUACUGCUGUCUUCAACAACCUCACUGCAAACUGCAGAAAGAGCCAGACUAUACUCAGAGAUGUACAGUGGUAGGAUGGGAGGCAACAGUCAUAUAUUAUAACAAGAAAAUUUCCAGUGACAUAUCAAGAAAAAAUGCCAUGAAGGUACUAAAACAUUAAAGGACAUUGCCCGGAGAUGUGGAGUUUCCACCCUUGGAGUGAUUCAAAGCUUGGCUGGUCACAGUCCUGAGCAACUUGAUGUUUGUUGGCCCUGCCAUAGCUGGGAAGUUGGACAAGGUGUUCUGCAGACUUCUCUUCCAACUUGUAUCAUUUUGUGAAAGAUUGUUGGUGAAGAAAGAGAAGCUAUAUCUUUCCCUUUACUGCUGUCUCUGAAAGGGAAAAUGCAUGCUUCUGUACACAGAGCCUUCAUGAGGAGGUGUCAGAGGAAGUGUAAAAGAUGGGAGGUCUGUGUGGAUGAACAAAUGGCUCCUAGCCAAACUCACAAACAAACCGGAACCAUAAAGACGGUGGAAGCAAGGAUGAGUAACCUGGAAGGAAUACAAAAGCAUUGUCUAAGCAUCCUGGGAUGAAAUUAGAAAAGCUAAAUCCCAAAUGGAAUUGAAUCUGCAAAGACAUCAAAGACAACAAGAAGUGCUUCUGUAAGUAAUAGGCGACAAAAGGAAGACUAGGAAAU
Long non-coding RNA from Tyto alba (common barn owl), 684 nucleotides. RefSeq lists it as uncharacterized. The transcript has 3 exons. The record is from RefSeq and is a predicted model, not a curated record. Lineage: Eukaryota; Metazoa; Chordata; Aves; Strigiformes; Tytonidae.